Oryzias latipes (Japanese medaka) is the source of this 5716-nucleotide non-coding RNA. NCBI's taxonomy places the organism in Eukaryota, Metazoa, Chordata, Actinopteri, Beloniformes, Adrianichthyidae. The record is from RefSeq and is a predicted model, not a curated record.
CGCACAGGAGGCUUGACGUCACUGAAGCGCCCUGCUUCUCCUGAGCCGCUUGUACUGCUGGCAAAAGAUGGAAAAAUCUGAUUGACAUUUAUCCAACAUUUAACGCGAAAUUGCCACUUCUGACACCCGUGUCCAUCUGACAAAAGGACAGCGACCUGGAACUGAUCCGAGCUCCACCAGGCAACCAGAGAAAGGCCAGCGUGAUUGUUUCAAGACAGGAUAAUUGGUCUUUAAAGUGAAGCUCCACAGAUCAUGAAUGUUCUGCUUCCUGUGUCCAACUGAGCGAUCCCCAGCCUAAAUCCAUCCAGCUGGAAAAAGGCAGUAGAAGUCAUACACCUACAGAUAGUUUUGGGUGUGCAUCCGUUUUUUUUUUUUAGCUAGCUCAAAAAUGUACGGAAGUGCUCGCUCUGUCGGCAGAGGGGAUGCCAACCAUGGGGGAGGAAGAGAUGCGGGUGGUUCUAGCAGUCAGGGGUCUGGACGCUCCCCCCGCCUUCCCCGCUCUCCCAGGAUGGGACAUCGGCGCACCAACAGUACAGGCGGCAGUGGAGGAGGACCUGGAGGAGCAGGGGGCAAAACCCUUUCUAUGGAAAACAUCCAGUCCCUCAAUGCUGCAUAUGCCACAUCAGGACCAAUGUAUCUAAGUGAAAAUGAGGUCGCCAUGGCAGGUGAUCAUGUAGGCAGAAGUGGAGGGACAGGGACCACCAUAGGGAGACAAAGGGUGACAUAUGCGUCCAGAGGCAGCAGCGGUGGAGUGGUAGCUGCCAGCACUCCUAAUAUUUCCACAUCAAUGCCUGCUAGCGCUGUGCUGCCAGCAGGGAUGAUGGCGGGUGAUGCUCUAGCCUUUGGGGACCACCACAUGGCCUCCACAGUCCCCCAUUCUCUGAGGCAGGCAAGAGACAACACCAUACUUGAUCUGCAGGCCCAACUUAAAGAGGUUCUUCGCGAGAAUGAGUUGUUACGGCGGGACGUGGAAGUCAAGGAAAGCAAACUCAGUUCCUCCAUGAAUUCUAUCAAGACUUUCUGGAGCCCUGAGCUGAAAAAGGAGCGAGCUCUCAGGAAAGAUGAAGCUUCUAAGAUCACAGUUUGGAAGGAGCAAUAUCGUGUGAUUCAAGAUGAAGCACAGCAUCUCCAGAUGACGGUUCAGGCUCUUCAGGAUGAGCUGAGGAUCCAGCGGGACCUGAACCAGCUGCUGCAGCAGGAUCCAGCUAGCCAGGGGAGGGACCUGGCCCUGACCUCUGAACCCACUGAGGAGAACUACCGCCGGCUGCACGGGGAGCACGAGCGACAGGCCAAAGAGCUGUUCCUGCUUCGGAAGACGCUAGAGGAAAUGGAGCUGAGGAUUGACACGCAAAAGCAAACCCUGGUGGCCAGAGACGAGUCCAUUAAGAAACUUUUAGAGAUGCUGCAGAGUAAAGGACCGUCUGCCAAAGCAUCUGAGGAGGACCAGGAGAGGACCAGGAGGCUGGCUGAUGCAGAGAUGCACAGGCAUCAUCUGGAGAGUUUGUUGGAGCAGAGGGAAAGAGAAGUUACAGCACUUAGAGAGGAACUUCAUCGUCGUUACGAGGGAACCCCAGAAUCUACCAAAACAAAGGCUCUACAGACUGUUAUCGAUAUGAAGGAUGCAAAAAUCAACUCCAUGGAGCGGGGUCUGCGGGACAUGGAGGAGGAGCUGCUGAUGCUGAAAUCAAACGGACUUCUGAGCUGUGAGGAGCGGCAGGAGGAAAUGAAGCAGAUGGAAGUGUACCGCAGUCACACGAAGUUCAUGAAGAACAAGAUGGAGCAGGUGAAGCAGGACCUUUCCAGGAAGGACACCGAGAUGCUUGGUUUGCAAACGAAGCUGGAGACCCUGACCAAUCAGUUCUCUGACAGCAAACAACAUAUUGAAGUUCUCAAGGAAUCCCUCACUGCGAAGGAGCAGCGAGCUGCCAUCCUACAAACAGAGGUUGAUGCUUUACGUCUGCGCUUGGAGGAGAAGGAGGCAACUCUAAACAAAAAGAGCAAGCAGAUCCAAGAAAUGUCAGAGGAGAAGGGAACCCUCAACGGAGAAAUCCACGACCUGAAGGACAUGUUGGAGGUUAAGGAGCGCAAGAUUAAUGUCCUACAGAAAAAGAUUGAGAACCUGCAGGAGCAACUUAGAGACAAAGAGAAGCAGAUGAGCAGCCUGAAGGAAAGAGUGAAGUCUUUGCAGGCGGACACUUCCAAUACCGACACUGCUCUCACAACCCUGGAGGAGUCGCUUUCAGAAAAAGAGCGCAUCAUAGAGCGUCUGAAGGAGCAGCGAGACCGAGACGACCGGGAGAAGACGGAGGAACUUGAAUGCACCAAAAAGGAACUGAAGGAGUUGAAGGAGAAGUUAAGUUUGCUGCAGGGAGACCUGUCAGACCGAGAGACGUCUCUACUGGACCUGAAGGAACAUGCAUCUUCCCUGGCCUCCUCAGGACUUAAGAAAGACUCAAAACUGAAAAGUAUGGAGAUCAAUUUGGAGCAGAAAAGGGAGGAGUGUCUAAAACUGGAGAACCAGCUAAAGAGAGCUCAGAAUGCGACGCUGGAAGCACAAGCCAACACGGAGCUGGCCGAGCGCAUCAAGAAUCUGGAGCGAGAAGUGAAUCGCUACAAAGAAGAUUCUGUGAAGGCUCAGGCAGAGGUGGACCGCCUGCUGGAAAUCCUGCGAGAAAUGGAGAACGAGAAGAACGAUAAAGACAAGAAGAUCAGUGAACUGGAGAGUUUGGCUUCCAGGCAGAUGAAGGACCAGACGAAAAAGGUGGCAUCGCUGAAGCACAAGGAACAGGUGGAGAAGAGCAAGAACGCUCGUCUGAUGGACGAGGCCAGGAAGAGGGAGGACAACAUGUCCGAAUCCUCCCUGCAGGUAAAGGACACUCUGCGUCAGAAGACGGAGCGCAUUGAGGAGCUGGAGGAAGCGCUGAGGGAGAGCGUUCAAAUAACUGCUGAGAGAGAAAUGGUGCUGGCACAGGAGGAGGCUGCCCGCUCGCUGCAGGAGAAACAGAAGCACUCACUCAAACCAAUGCAUGAGUCCAACCUCGCCCACUUUAAGUGGUCUAAGAUGGAGGAGUUGCUGGGCGCCAUGGAGAAGGUGAAACAGGAGCUGGAGUCGAUGAGGGCCAAGCUGGGCUCCACCCAACAGUCUCUGUGUGAGAAGGAGGCACAUCUCACAACCCUGCGAGCCGAGCGCAGGAAACAUCUGGAGGAGGUGCUGGAGAUGAAGCAGGAGGCGUUGUUAGCUGCUAUCAGUGAGAAGGAUGCCAACAUCGCAUUGCUGGAGUUAUCAUCCUCUAAGAAGAAGAAAACCCAGGAUGAGGUGGCCAUGCUGAAGCGGGAGAAGGACCGACUGGUGCAGCAGCUCAAGCAGCAGACUCAGAACAGGAUGAAGCUCAUGGCAGACAACUAUGAGGACGAUCACCUAAAGACUGCAGCUGACCACACAAACCACAAACCUUCUCCAGACCAGGAUGAUGAGGAGGGUAUUUGGGCAUAGCUGGUCUUUUGCCCUCCUCCUCUCUCUCACAUCUGUUUUGUUCCGAAGGAUGAUUCCCCCUCUUUUAGCCUUAUGCCAGAACCGCAGUAAGCUCAAACUCUACAUUGCACACUUGACCGACCUCUGCCACGACCGAGAUCCCAGCAUCCUCAGCCAGCUGACCCCGCCCCCUCACUAUCACCACGGCGACCCGGCAGGUUGGGAGGAGGAGCUUCAGAAGAUGAGCCUCGAACAGCUGAAGCAGGAGCUGGAGGUGUGUGAGAAAGAGAGCGGAGAGCUGCAGGAAUUUGCCAACGCCGUUCUCCAGCAGAUCGCAGACUGCUGCCCCGACAUCCUGGAGCAGGUGGUCAAAGCCCUGGAGGAAUCCUGAUGACCGCAGGAGUUUCUUCCCUUCCCCAAAACAAUGACUGACACACCGGGGGGUUAUUCUUCGUCCCACUGGACUUUGAAGCCGGAAGUGCUUUUUUUGCCUCGUUGUUGCUCUGAGGAGAGACGGUACAACCAAAUUAACAUCCCAUUGAAGAAACAUUGGAUUUCAAGCACAAACCUGAACGCAUCACGUCAGGCAGAUGACUAAAAUUGCUGCGAACAAAACAAAUGGGAUUUUCCUCUCUAGCUUAAAAAAAGUCAAUGUCAGAUGUCAGUUUCUAAAUUUGGUCGAGACGUUUACAGGUUAGAGGAUAAACCCUCCCUCUGGAGGUCUUGGGGUGUACCACCAAACCUCCUCUUUCCUCUGGAGAGCCUCACUCAGAGCAAGAAUCGCCUGCUCGCGCACUUUCACCUGUCUCCACUGCUCCCAUUCAUCCCUCAAAACUAAAAAGAGGUACAGGAAAGCACUUUCAGUCAGGAAGGUGGUGCAGGGUGGAGUGGUUUUUAAGCACCACCGUUGAACCAAAUGAGCACAAACGUCGGUACGCUGCUGCGUGGUCAGUGGCUGGAUCAUUGGCAUUAGAGGGGGGGUCAAGGCGUGUCUUUUUAAUCAAAGAUCCGAUUUUAGUUAUCAUGUUCUCCGUGAGAGAGGGGAUGGAAAAAAAAAAACAACCCUACUUGUUUGUGGUUAUGUGUUCAUCUCUGGAUGGUUUUGCACACGGCACCCACUUGUUUAUGAGGUAUGCAAUGUUUCUUUUGAGAACGUUCUCGUGGCCUUGGAGCAUGCACAAAGACCAGAACUGGACCUAAAGCAGGGAUCUUUAUUCCUCUGUAACAAUGGUGCUAAGGCAUGAAGUAAAAGGUUUUCAAAUAACACUUAUUCAGUUUCAGAUAAAGUUUCUAUAGGUGUCACUUAAACCUCACCUCUUUAAUUUACCAAAAAAAAAAAAAAAACGUUUCCUCCUUUUUUUCUAAUUUACUUUUUUUUUAUCUUUAGGGAUGAGGUUUAAUUAAGUGCAUCUACUUUUACGGAAACACUUUUCAAUAGAGUUCAACAUUUGAAAUCAGUUUGUAAAUAAAGUGAUAUUUAACACGUACCGUCACUGAAUAAAGUCAAGUGAAAGGUGUUGUGCAUUCUCUACAGAAAUACUUAUUAAAAGAUAAAAGCAGUGCAGUUGUCAGGGUGUGUGUGUGUGUGUGUGUGUGUGACAGUGCUGCAGAAAGUCAUGUUCUUUAUAUGGAAGAAAUAAAUACUGCUUAUUGUAUGGAUAUGCAUUGAAUGUUUGUACAGAUUCUCCAAGUUUGUUGCUCUAAAAAAAAAAAAAAAAGCAGGAACUGAGGAGCGUCCAAUGUCAAAAGAAUUCCAUUCCGAAUGUUUUUAAAACAAAGACUGUGGGAUAGGAAAGCACUUUCCUUGCAUUUAUUUUAAAAUACUUUUUUCAUAAACAUAUAUUCCCUGAAAGGUGACAUCUUAGAACUCCUGGAUCCUUCAUUUUCUUUUGUGGAUGAUUUAAUCUUGCUGAGAUUAAGGAAUAAAAAAGCACACAAUCAGCAAAAAUAAAGUAAAAAGGUGUCAGAUUAAGGUGGAUUUUCUGCUAAACUGCAGGUUUCAGAGUGUCUCCCCCCUCUGUGGCCUGUGCCUUAAGGCCGUCUCUGCUUUACCUCAGCUCUUUCCUGCGCGGGUCACAGAGCUGCUGCGUGAGAGGCUUCAGUCUACUUCUGUGUGUGUUUGCGUAAGACUCGUACUGCCUUGUGUCUGUUACUAAAUCAAACUGUAAAAAAAAAAAGUGAAACAGACGUGUGACUUCUUCAGAUUUUGUAUGUAUGUAAAUAAAGAAAUUAUAAGCCUGUGGA